AUGGCGGUGGGGUUCCGUCGGGCGCUGGACGCGCUCACGUCGCCCAAGUCGGCCCUGCUGGAGUGCGCGCGGCCCAAGAAGCUGUCCUCCUACGCGCGCGUCCGCUCCAUCAGCCUCCCCGUCCGCCUCCACCCGCUGGUGGCCGCGCUGCACGACUCGGCGCGCGCGCUGCUGCGGUGGGCGGACGAGCCCGCGCAGACGGGGCCCGCCUGGGUCGCCGACGGCGCCGACCGGGCCGGGCAGGUGCUGGCGGGCCUCUCCGCCAUGCUCCACCACCCGCAGGCGCGGGACGCGCUCCGCCGGCCCUGGACGGAGCAGCUGCUCGACGACCUGCUCCUCCUCGCCGACUUCCACGGCUGCUUCCGGGACUCGCUCGUCGCGCUCCGCCAGCUGCUCAACGAGACGCACUCCGCCCUGCGCCGCCGCGACGGCGUGCGCCUCGCCGCGGCGCUCCGCGCGCAGCGCCGCGCCGCCAGGGAGGUCUCCCGCCUCGCAUCCUCCGCCAGGGACCUCUGCCACCGCGCCGCCCCCGACGACGACCUGGACGAGAUCACGCUCGCCGACGCCUUCGCCGCCGCCACGGCCGCCGUGGCCGCCGCCUCCGCGGCCAUCUUCUCCGGCCUGUCGUCCGCCUCGGCCGAGUCCGCCGCCAGCGCCGCCCCGUCCCCGAGGACGCCGACGCCCUACUCCCCCGCCCGCGCCCCCGCCAGCCCGAUGUGGCUGGUGACUGACCUCCUCCGCCGGCGGAGGACCGUGUCGUUCUCGUUCGAGGAGUACUGCAACGAGGAGGAGGAGGAGAGGAAGGCGGCCAUGGGCCGGGUGCGCGGCCUCGAGGAGUGCGUGGCCGCCGCCGAGGGCAGCGGCGAGCAGGUGUACCGUGCGCUCGUGAACGCCAGGGUGUCGCUGCUCAACCUGCUCACGCCCACAUUCUGA
Molecule: ribosomal RNA, 933 nt
Filed under: Triticum aestivum (bread wheat)
Lineage: Eukaryota; Viridiplantae; Streptophyta; Magnoliopsida; Poales; Poaceae
Description: partial small subunit ribosomal RNA
Source: RNAcentral